GCGGGAGGCUCUGUAAACAAUGCUGUGUGCUUCGUGUCCCUUUCAGACAAGGGCAAAGACAAAUGGCAUUUGUGGAGUAGGACUCUAUGGCAGCCACUAUGGCAGAUGACCGAUUUGUGGAGUGGCAAAUUCAAAUUCUCCCAGGAUAAGGCGGCAAUGUCAGUAUACGAGGCCCACCUAGUGGGGACAUAGGCAAACUUUCUCAGAUGGCCAUUGUUCAGCCUUAGAAGUUACCCACAAAUUCCACAUUAUCAGAUCUCCUCACUUGAGCUGCUGCAGGAAGAGCUCCACAGCAGGUCUACUGGCUCCUCGAAGCUACAGAAGGGAGCUGUGGUGCUGGCACCCUCGCUUUCUUGAGUUGUCUUAACAGAAUAAAGGGCAUGAACUUAACUAGUCUCUAAUAAACUGUGUGAUGGUAAAGUUUAUGAGUUAAGCUGACUGGGUUAAGGGAUGCCCAGCGAGCUGGUAAAACAUGACUUCUGGGUGUGUCUCUGAGGCUGUUUGCAGAAGAGAUUAGCAUUUGAGUCUGUAGACUGAGUAAAGAUUGCCCUCGCCAGUGCAGGUGGGCAUCACCAGAUCUAUUGAGGGCCCAAACAGAACAAAAAGGCUGAGGAACGGCGAGUUUGCUCUCUGCUUGAGCUGGGACACCGUCUUCUCCUGCCUUCCGGCAUCAGUGCUCCUCUGGCCUUCAGGUUUGGAUUGGAACUACACCACUGGCUUUCCUGGGCCUCCAGCUUGCAGACUUCUCAGCCUGCAUAAUCUCCUGAGCCAAUCUCUCAUAAUAAAUUUCCUUCUGUGUGUCUCUAUAUGUCCUAUUGGUUCUGUCCUCUGGAGAAACUUGAUGUAUGCGGGCUGUAUCCAUUAGCUUUUGCAAUAAUAUUGUUGCAAAACAAAACACU
Long non-coding RNA from Equus caballus (horse), 899 nucleotides. NCBI's taxonomy places the organism in Eukaryota, Metazoa, Chordata, Mammalia, Perissodactyla, Equidae. The record is from Ensembl.